RNAcentral lists this long non-coding RNA (1268 nucleotides) under Homo sapiens (human). RNAcentral's name for it is "HSALNT0233785". Lineage: Eukaryota; Metazoa; Chordata; Mammalia; Primates; Hominidae. The record is from RNAcentral.
UCCAUCCCUCCAUCCCUCCAUCCAUCACUCUUUCUCUCUCCCCUUUCUUUUAUUCCCGGUGGCUAUUGUUCCCAUCUUUAUGUCCAUGUGUACCCAAUGUUUAGCUCCCACUUAUAAGUGAGAACAUGUAAUAUUUGGCUUUCUGUUUCUGUGUUAAUUAGCUUAGGACAAUGGCCUCGAGCUGCAUCCGUGUUGCUGCAAAAGACAUGACUUUGUUCGUUUUUAUGGCUGCAUAGUAUUCCAUGGUGUAUGCGUACAUACCACAUUUUCUUUAUUCAGUCCACUGUUGAAGGGCACCUGGGUUGAUUUCAUGUCUUUCCUACGUGAAUUGAUAGCACCUCUUUCAUUCUUUCCCAGAUGCUGAACUUCGCAGAAAAGGCAGAUAUUCGAUCAUUUCCAGUCUUUUCCCUUAGAUGAUACACAAAGUGUUGCUUUUCAGUUUUCAACUCUGGGAAUUUAUCUUUUCUCACUCGCCAAAGCCACAGCUGAGAGCAAGCAGCAGAAACUGAUUAACACUGUCUGUCCAGGCUGAAGCUAUUGAACAAUUACAAGAUGAGGAAACAGAUGUGAGAGGUGAAAUAACUUGCCUGAGGAAACACAGCUCAAACUGGAACUGACUCCUAAGUCUAUGAUUUUAACCUCUAUGCAUAUGUAAUCCUUGUGAAGAUGGUUCUAUGAAAAGUCCGUAACAACAUACAACCCAUUAAUUUAGUACCAGAUGUAAAAUGUGAUUUAACUGCCUUAUUGAAAAGAAUAAACUUGCAUGAAAUUGAGACCUGACUGUUCCAUUUCUAGGAAAUUGUCCUUCUUGAUGUGUUUGAGCCAGAUCUGAGAGCUUCUGCCAGGAGAGCAAUUAGAACUUGCAGACUCCCACUGAAGUCCCAUUUAGCUCCGUGUGUCUGGGGGAGGAAACCAAGGCAGCUCAUAGCAAUAACUUCAUUGAGUUGUUACCCUGUUGAUACCUUUCUAUUCAUCAGGCUUGCAAAGGAAGCAGAGAACUCUGUUUCCCUGCCUUCCUCAUUCCCUCACCUCCCCAAAAACAUACACCCACCGCCACUGCCACGUCCUUUAUUUCUCUACUCUUUUUUUUUUUUUUAGAUGAAGUCUAGCUCUUGUUGCCCAGGCUAGAGUGCAGUGGCGCAAUCUUGGCUUACUGCAACCUCCGCCUCCCAGGUUCAAGCUUCUCCUGCCUCAGCCUCCUGAGUAGCUGGGAUUACAGGUGCCCGCCAACACACCUGGCUAAUUUUUGUACUUUUAGUAGAGACGGG